GACGAACGCUGGCGGCGUGCUUAACACAUGCAAGUCGAACGAGAGGAGAAGGAAGCUUGCUUCUUUCAAAUCUAGUGGCAAACGGGUGAGUAACACGUAAACAACCUGCCUUCAGGAUGGGGACAACAGACGGAAACGACUGCUAAUACCGCAUGACGCAUGACUGGGGCAUCCCGGACAUGCCAAAGAUUUUAUCGCUGAAAGAUGGCCUCGCGUCUGAUUAGAUAGUUGGCGGGGUAACGGCCCACCAAGUCGACGAUCAGUAGCCGGACUGAGAGGUUGACCGGCCACAUUGGGACUGAGAUACGGCCCAGACUCCUACGGGAGGCAGCAGUGGGGAAUAUUGGGCAAUGGACGCAAGUCUGACCCAGCAACGCCGCGUGAAGGAAGAAGGCUUCGGUUGUAACUUCUUUAAGGGGUAAGAGCAGAAGACGGUACCCCUUGAAUAAGCCACGGCUAACUACGUG
Molecule: ribosomal RNA, 467 nt
Filed under: uncultured bacterium
Lineage: Bacteria
Description: bacterial SSU rRNA
Rfam family: Bacterial small subunit ribosomal RNA
Source: RNAcentral